GACGAACGCUGGCGGCGUGCUUAACACAUGCAAGUCGAACGAAGAGCGAUGGAAGCUUGCUUCUAUCAAUCUUAGUGGCGAACGGGUGAGUAACGCGUAAUCAACCUGCCCUUUAGAGGGGGACAACAGUUGGAAACGACUGCUAAUACCGCAUACGAUCUAAUCUCGGCAUCGAGGGUAGAUGAAAGGUGGCCUCUACAGGUAAGCUAUCACUGAAGGUGGGGAUUGGGUCUGUUUAGCUAGUUGGCGGGGUAACGGCCCACCAAGGCGAGGUUCAGUAGCCGGUCUGAGAGGAUGGACGGCCACAUUGGGACUGAGACACGGCUCAGACUGCUACGGGAGGCAGCAGUGGGGAAUCUUCCGCAAUGGACGAAAGUCUGACGGAGCAACGCCGCGUGAGUGAUGACGGCCUUCGGGUUGUAAAGCUCUGUUAAUCGGGACGAAAGGGCUUCUUGCGAAUAGUGAGAAGGAUUGACGGUACCGGAAUAGAAAGCCACGGCUAACUACGUG
Molecule: ribosomal RNA, 510 nt
Filed under: uncultured bacterium
Lineage: Bacteria
Description: partial 16S ribosomal RNA
Rfam family: Bacterial small subunit ribosomal RNA
Source: RNAcentral